GGGAAGGUGGCUCAGUGGAAGAGCGCUUGUCUUGCAUACAUGAGGCCCUAGGUUCGAUUCCUCAGCACCCCA
Non-coding RNA from Dipodomys ordii (Ord's kangaroo rat), 72 nucleotides. NCBI's taxonomy places the organism in Eukaryota, Metazoa, Chordata, Mammalia, Rodentia, Heteromyidae. The record is from Rfam.